RNAcentral lists this long non-coding RNA (940 nucleotides) under Apteryx owenii (little spotted kiwi). RNAcentral's name for it is "lncRNA (ENSAOWG00000006173.1)". The record is from RNAcentral. Lineage: Eukaryota; Metazoa; Chordata; Aves; Apterygiformes; Apterygidae.
CCUAUCCUUUUGUGUGUGCAUGGAAGAGUUUCAGUGCUCACCCAUAACUAUGUUAUUUGCAGCAUUCUGGCUUGCUGUGAAUUGCGCUGAAUGCUGCAAAGACUAAGGAAUGGAUUUCCACACCCCGACCUUUUUUCACCACAGCAGAGAGAACAGCCAUUGAGGUCCUUAUUCACAGAAGUGUCCAAUCCGCUCUCUGAGAUGUCUUUAGCUGCUUUCCUCAAUAGUGUCGGAUGAUGAACCAGAAUCACUUAAGCAUGAGUUUGACAGCGAACAUGUUAUUGCAGCAAUGUAAGAGUGCUUACAGCCAUAUUCUCAACUGGGAAGCUGCGAUCAAAACAGAUGGUUUCACCGUCUCUUUCUUAAAUGUAUCCUCUAAAAACAUAGUAAUUGUACUGUCCAAGUCUAUUUAUGUAUAUUUGGUGAUCUAUGUAAUAUAUUUUUUUACUUUAAUCAUUGGUAGCUCAUAGCUUUUUCUUCUGUCUGAAGCUUUGGCAGUUCCCGGAGUUUGUUGUCUUUGAGCUGAGAUGAUUUUUAUGAAAACCUCUCAGAGGUGGAACAGCUCUAAUUUGGUAUGGAACUAAGCAGUUAGGAAAGCUUCUGGAUAUCUGGGUAAUAGUAAAACAUCAAGCAAAUGAAUAUUUCUAUAAUUUGGAGGAGAAGUAGAUCCUCAAGGCACAAAGUUCUGUUCGUUGUUACCUGCUUUGUUCUUCUGUGAAGUUAUUUCAAGAAAGAAGGGAUUUGCAAAUGAAAUUUUAACUAGAAAAUUGUAACAUAUUUUCUUUUAAGACAGUAUAAGACUCUUGUAAGACAGUAUAAGACCUGUUAAUUCAAGGACAGAAAAGCCAUUCAUUUGUUUUAUCAGCAUUCGCUGUUCAUGAGAGCAAUCCAGUUAUCUUUAGUACUUGUCACGCUCUGCCUAUAAGGUUAUGAAUUAUAA